RNAcentral lists this microRNA precursor (197 nucleotides) under Arabidopsis thaliana (thale cress). RNAcentral describes it as "miR5998a stem-loop (ath-MIR5998a)". The stretch from base 10 to 180 matches the Rfam family "MIR5998 microRNA precursor family". Lineage: Eukaryota; Viridiplantae; Streptophyta; Magnoliopsida; Brassicales; Brassicaceae. The record is from miRBase by way of RNAcentral.
UGAACUUAAGGAGAAAACAAAUUGGAACAGUUUGUGUUUUGUUUUGUGUUUUGUUGGAUUCGUUACUCUCCACCGUCGCCGCCAUGUACAAUUCUCAAACUCUGACUUCUUGGAGGCAAUUCUUCCAAUUUGUUCCAACAUCACAAAACAAAACACAAACUGUUCCAAUUUGUUUUCUCACAAAAUGAGAAGUUGAC